RNAcentral lists this ribosomal RNA (566 nucleotides) under uncultured bacterium. Its description in RNAcentral is "bacterial SSU rRNA". It matches the Rfam family "Bacterial small subunit ribosomal RNA", at positions 917 to 1482 of the family's 1533-position model. The record is from RNAcentral.
GGGCCCGCACAAGCGGCGGAGCAUGCGGAUUAAUUCGAUGCAACGCGAAGAACCUUACCAAGGCUUGACAUGUGCCGGAAAAGUGCAGAGAUGUGCUCCCCGCAAGGUCGGUACACAGGUGGUGCAUGGUUGUCGUCAGCUCGUGUCGUGAGAUGUUGGGUUAAGUCCCGCAACGAGCGCAACCCUCGUCCUAUGUUGCCAGCACAUCAUGGUGGGGACUCAUAGGAGACUGCCGGGGUCAACUCGGAGGAAGGUGGGGAUGACGUCAAAUCAUCAUGCCCCUUAUGUCUUGGGCUUCACGCAUGCUACAAUGGCCGGUACAAAGGGCUGCGAUACCGCAAGGUGGAGCGAAUCCCAAAAAGCCGGUCUCAGUUCGGAUUGGGGUCUGCAACUCGACCCCAUGAAGUCGGAGUCGCUAGUAAUCGCAGAUCAGCAACGCUGCGGUGAAUACGUUCCCGGGCCUUGUACACACCGCCCGUCAAGUCACGAAAGUCGGUAACACCCGAAGCCGGUGGCCCAACUCGCAAGAGGGGGAGCCGUCGAAGGUGGGACUGGCGAUUGGGACU